Molecule: ribosomal RNA, 650 nt
Filed under: uncultured Actinomycetales bacterium
Lineage: Bacteria; Bacillati; Actinomycetota; Actinomycetes; Actinomycetales
Description: bacterial SSU rRNA
Rfam family: Bacterial small subunit ribosomal RNA
Source: RNAcentral
AGUCGAACGGAAAGGCCCUGCUUGCAGGGUACUCGAGUGGCGAACGGGUGAGUAACACGUGGGUGAUCUGCCCUGCACUUCGGGAUAAGCUUGGGAAACUGGGUCUAAUACCGGAUAGGAACCAUCUUUAGUGUGGUGGUUGGAAAGUUUUUUCGGUGUAGGAUGAGCUCGCGGCCUAUCAGCUUGUUGGUGGGGUAAUGGCCUACCAAGGCGGCGACGGGUAGCCGGCCUGAGAGGGUGUACGGCCACAUUGGGACUGAGAUACGGCCCAGACUCCUACGGGAGGCAGCAGUGGGGAAUAUUGCACAAUGGGCGCAAGCCUGAUGCAGCGACGCCGCGUGGGGGAUGAAGGCCUUCGGGUUGUAAACUCCUUUCGCUAGGGACGAAGCUUUUUGGUGACGGUACCUAGAUAAGAAGCACCGGCUAACUACGUGCCAGCAGCCGCGGUAAUACGUAGGGUGCGAGCGUUGUCCGGAAUUACUGGGCGUAAAGGGCUCGUAGGUGGUUUGUCGCGUCGUCUGUGAAAUUCUGGGGCUUAACUCCGGGCGUGCAGGCGAUACGGGCAUAACUUGAGUGCUGUAGGGGUAACUGGAAUUCCUGGUGUAGCGGUGAAAUGCGCAGAUAUCAGGAGGAACACCGAUGGCGAAGGC